This 389-nucleotide ribosomal RNA is filed under the name uncultured bacterium. Its description in RNAcentral is "bacterial SSU rRNA". It matches the Rfam family "Bacterial small subunit ribosomal RNA", at positions 30 to 420 of the family's 1533-position model. The record is from RNAcentral.
AUUGAACGCUGGCGGCAUGCCUUACACAUGCAAGUCGAACGGCAGCACGGGAGCAAUCCUGGUGGCGAGUGGCGAACGGGUGAGUAAUAUAUCGGAACGUGCCCAGUCGUGGGGAUAACGUAGCGAAAGCUACGCUAAUACCGCAUACGAUCUAUGGAUGAAAGCGGGGGAUCGCAAGACCUCGCGCGAUUGGAGCGGCCGAUAUCAGAUUAGGUAGUUGGUGAGGUAAAGACUCACCAAGCCGACGAUCUGUAGCUGGUCUGAGAGGACGACCAGCCACACUGGGACUGAGACACGGCCCAGACUCCUACGGGAGGCAGCAGUGGGGAAUUUUGGACAAUGGGCGCAAGCCUGAUCCAGCAAUGCCGCGUGCAGGAUGAAGGCCUCGG